Cyprinus carpio carpio is the source of this 1675-nucleotide long non-coding RNA. The record is from Ensembl. NCBI's taxonomy places the organism in Eukaryota, Metazoa, Chordata, Actinopteri, Cypriniformes, Cyprinidae.
GGCUGAUGAUGCACACGAUGGAUUUGGAAAGCAGCAUGUAAUGGUGUUCAUGGAGUUCUCAUUAACGUUACAGGAUUGUGGACAAGAAUCUCAAGUAUGAAAUCAUUGACCAACAUAGUCUUAGUCUAACUUAGAUAUUUCAGUUUAGGAGAGAGAAAGUUGGGCAGCUGUUGACAGCUUUAACAACAAAUCAAGACUAAAGAGCCAACUAAUGUCUCUGGUGCUCAGAGCACUUUCUAUAGUCCUUGGCCACAAACUUACAGAUUUCUACAAAGUAUGCUUUGACUCUGAUGACAUUGGAAUCCUCCUCAUUGAGCAAGAAGGCUCUCAUCUUCUCUCCAUCUCAAUCCAGCCUCAUUGAAGAUCAUCAUUGAAGGAGAAGUUGUGAUGGACAAUAUUGAUGACUUGCCAAAAGCUAUAUGCAUUAUGGACUUGCAUACACACUGCUUCUCAACUACCCUAAAUCUAUGAAGAACACAUUCCAGUUCAUCCAACGGGUAUGGCAGAUAUUGUCCCUACCACAUUUUGAAAGUAACUGAAAAAGUCAUGGCCUAGUGGUUAGAGAGUUUGACUCCUAACCCUAAGGUUGUGGGUUUGAGUCUCGGGCUGGCAAUACCAUGACUGAGGUGCCUUUGAGCAAGGCACCGAACCCCCAACUGCUCCCCGGCUGCCGCAGCAUAAAUGGCUGCCCACUGCUCCGAGUGUGUGUUCACGUUGUGUGUGUCUGUGUUCACUGCUGUGUGUGUGCACUUUGGAUGGGUUAAAUGCAGAGCAAGAAUUCUGAGUAUGGGUCACUUUCAAAAUAUCUUGCGGUAUGUAUUAGGUAUAUUAAAGGGAAAACAAGAUCAACAAAUAAUUCUUCAUAAUCUAAUCAGGGUGAUAAAAACUACUACAACAACAAAAACAUUUGACUCCUUAUGCAUGUAUAACUGGUAAAGUGCAAUAACGACGUGAUUUUCAGUUGUCGCACUUUUCGUAAUGUCAUUAUAGGAUUUUAUUUAAAAAAAGAAAAGAAAAUGGAGCGCUUCCUUCUGCUAAAUAGGCCUUCCCUAUAGAUUUUUCUAGUCAACUAUUCGCACGUUAUAUUAAAUUGAUUAAUAUAAUAAUAUAUUAACCAUACUUUAAUAGGCUACAGGCAUUCCGCGCUCAAGCUCACGCAUAAAGCAAUUGCCUCAAAACACCGGCAAAGUGAUUAUGAACGUAUCAGGGGAAAAGAAGACAUUUUAAUAAUUUAUUAAUAAGUGCUUUCUGAGUCGGGUGCAAUGAUUAGGUUGACGAAUGCCGACACUGAUUCGCCAUCUCCACGGACCUGGCUUUAAUAGAAAUAAACCUUUUCAUACGGACUACAAAAUUAAAGAAUAGCCUAUAACAAAAUCGAGUGAGCGGCGUCAGCAGGAGCGCGAAGGUGCGCGCAGCAAAAAUGACGCGAAUACUGAUGGUUUUCACGCUAAAGUAAAGUAAAAGACCGCUUCUUAAACCAGAGAUGGUGAACAUGUUGGUAUUCUCGUGGGGGGGAAAACAUGCAAGAGCUGUCACCGACAGCAAGUUUAGUUUUACUUUUCUUUUUGUUUUGAUUUCAUUUUGAAAAGCUUAUCUUUGCUGUUUACAUCACGUUAUGCUAUGGAGGCUCUCUUUUAUUUAUUUUUUAUUUUUAUUUGAUUCCUCAUUGCUUGCU